AAAUAUAUUAGCUCAUUACUGUCGAAUUGUAAAAUUCGAGACAACAGAAAAACGUAAGUAUCAAUAAUAUUAAACUUUUUUUUAAAUUUAUUUAUUAUUUGUUAUUUGUUAUUAUUCUUUUCUGUUUCAAUACCUUCUCUAAAUUUUAUUCUUUGCUUUUUUAGCAAGCCAUUACCAAAUCCCAUAUAACUAUAAGGAAAGUAAUAUGUUUCGUUUUCGUAUCUGAAGGAGUUGCGAAACAUUUUUAUUAACAAUGUCCUUUCUAUUAAGUGGACACGACUGCCGAUUCAUUUAUGCUCAGGAAAUACAAAUUGAAAAGUAGAUGAAAACCAGCUGAAGGAGGUCUUUUCUAUCAAGUGGACAUGGUUAAAAAAUUUCUAUUAACAUCAUCAUGUUACAUAUAAAUAAUCUACCGUUUUUUAUAAUUGGGCAGGAUUUCUAAAUCAGCUCAACUAAAAUAAGAAAAUUUAAUUUGCAAUAUCGCUUCUCUACUUCUAAUGUGAUCGAAGAAAUAAGUUUGUGAAAUGUAGAACCCAGAAAAUCG
Leptopilina boulardi is the source of this 544-nucleotide long non-coding RNA. RefSeq lists it as uncharacterized. NCBI's taxonomy places the organism in Eukaryota, Metazoa, Arthropoda, Insecta, Hymenoptera, Figitidae. The record is from RefSeq and is a predicted model, not a curated record. The transcript is spliced from 3 exons.